Molecule: transfer RNA, 58 nt
Filed under: Cercopithifilaria johnstoni
Lineage: Eukaryota; Metazoa; Nematoda; Chromadorea; Rhabditida; Onchocercidae
Source: RNAcentral
GGCUUUUUAGUAUAAUUAUGGUAUAUUUGUUUUCCAAACAAAAGGUAAUUUUUAGCUA